This 654-nucleotide unclassified non-coding RNA is filed under the name Hevea brasiliensis (rubber tree). Lineage: Eukaryota; Viridiplantae; Streptophyta; Magnoliopsida; Malpighiales; Euphorbiaceae. The record is from RNAcentral.
AAAAAUCAGACAGAUCAAUUCCUAGCCUGAUUGUGUAGAGUUGAUUAAACAUUACUAAUCACAAGUAGCUAAUCCUGUGAAUUUGGUCUUCUUCAAUCAUCCUUCUAAGCUGCAAUAAAAUACAACACAUAUUUUCAUCAUGCAAGCACCAAUAUGUGUUAAUGCGCCUUCCUAUUUUAAAAAAUUAGCUCAGCACUAUCCUUACUACUGCCAUGAAUUAUUUCAAAAGCACUGUCCAAAAUUUCAGAAUUUGCACCAUAACCAUCACUUUGAAAGCAUCAUUGCAUUCCUAAAACUUCUUAAAUACAAACUACAUAGUACAAAACAAGUUAAUAGGUGGGAGCUGGCACAUCAUGUCUUCUACAGUUUUCUUUAAUUAACCAACAUGUGCAGAAGAAAUUCCCAACCAAUCUAUCUUUAAAAUGCACUAUGAUUUUCCCAUUUUAAAGGUUUCAUGUCAACUUCAACUAUAAUUAAAUUAGAUUUGAAUAUGAACGCUUCCAAUGAGAAAUUUAGCAGUAUAAUUUGACUGAUCAAGCAGCUUAUUUAUGUAUGGCAUAGCUUAGAAAUUUUUCUAACUGAUUUACAAAUAUCUUUUAAAACUUUGUGAAACUUAUACCUUCUUUUUUUCACCAAUAUAAAAGAAUAUUGAAU